ACCUGGCUGGCUCAAUCAGUGGAGCACGUGACUCCUGAUCUUGUGUCCUGAGUUCAAGCCCCAUGUUGGGUA
RNAcentral lists this transfer RNA (72 nucleotides) under Felis catus (domestic cat). It matches the Rfam family "tRNA". Rfam says of the family: Transfer RNA (tRNA) molecules are approximately 80 nucleotides in length. Lineage: Eukaryota; Metazoa; Chordata; Mammalia; Carnivora; Felidae. The record is from Rfam by way of RNAcentral. RNAcentral also lists the same sequence under 3 other names.